CUCAGUGUUACUGACUCAGCUUUCAAGCCUAAGUCUUCAGUGUUAACAGAAAAAAACAUUUCCAGCAUGAUAAUAAAAAAAGUUAGAUAUGUAUAGCUAGUUUGUAAUAAGAUGAUCAGUAUUAAUAUUAUUUGUGCUAUCUGCAUUAUAAACCAGUGGUGUUACAGUUGAAUGAAGCAAACACAUCAAUGGUAAGGCUGAUUUAUAUAAUAUGGUACCCAACAGGUUUACAGCUGUACAUGGAGGGAGAGCCAUAUGAGAUCUACUGUUGUUCUAGAAAAAGAAAAAGAAAGAACACAUCAAAGCAGUGUUAACAUAAAUAAUUUACAAGAAAAAGAGUAUUACAUGAAAAAAAGUAGAUCCUUAGGAAGCAGAUGCCAUCCUUGAACCCUUUCCAUACAUGCUUACUGUACAGAAACACCUUCACAUUUUAUGACAAUCCACCCAAAUAGAAAGAAAAUAUAUUUACAGCUAAUCAAAUCAGUGGUAUGUGAACAGAACAUGAAAAAAAAAAAAGCAAUACUGGCUUUAUCAAGAGGAGUAGCUCUACAAAUACAAGCUAUUUUCAAUACUGCAGUAAAAUGCCAAUAUCCACACAAAGACACACAGUAUGGAAUAACAAAAAUGCUAAUAGCUUCAGGGAGGUGAUUAGAAAAAAAACAUUGUAUAAUAUAAUUUUGACAAAAACGGCCACUGAUUUAAAAACAAAACAAAACAAAGCUUUGCAUUAUUUAUGAAGACUUUCCCAAAUUAAACCCAAUUGUAUAUGAACUGGGAAGCAGGAGGGAAAAUGUAUGGCAGCAACUGAUCUUUUUCCCAUUAGUUAGAGCCAGGCUAACAAGAGUCACCACGCAUAGAAUGGAAGUGUUAUGCAGAACCAUUACCGUAUUUUCUGGACUAUAAGCCGCUACUUUUUUCCUAGGUUUUGAACCAUGAGGCUUAUACAAAGGUGCGGCUAUUCUGUGGAUUUUUCUUCCACCACUAGGGGCGCUCUCACCGGAAUUGGAAUCAAAAACAAGAC
Long non-coding RNA from Astatotilapia calliptera (eastern happy), 1021 nucleotides. The record is from Ensembl. NCBI's taxonomy places the organism in Eukaryota, Metazoa, Chordata, Actinopteri, Cichliformes, Cichlidae.